UCAGUAAGAGCUUUAUCCUGGUCGUGAUGGUGGUGGAUCCAGCCCUUCCCAGGAACACUGGAGACAUUCUUCAGAAAUGGAGCAUAAAGACACGCCUGGCCGGAUUACCGGACCAAUGACAAGUACAAGUAUCACCCACAAGCAGCGCUGUCUCCUGCCAGCACUUCCCUCAGUUUGAUUUAUUAUUUCCAUUAAAUGUGUCAAGUGGGUCUCUUUCUUUCUAUUCAUUCACAAACAAGAGCAAAAGAGGAUCCACCCCAUUUUAACAAACAAUGUCACUCCUUUCCUGUUAAGCAGAGUUAAG
Molecule: long non-coding RNA, 304 nt
Organism: Pangasianodon hypophthalmus (striped catfish)
Lineage: Eukaryota; Metazoa; Chordata; Actinopteri; Siluriformes; Pangasiidae
Exons: 3
Source: RefSeq, a predicted model, not a curated record